AUUUCACAGAAAGCCACUUAUAUAUAAGCUUUGAUGCAAGACAGAUUUCUUUUUGGACUGAAAUGUGACUUCUACUGAUAGUAGAAACUUCUUCAGUUUCCGUUGACUGUCUUCAACAGUAUUUCCUUUUUCCUGUUUAAUUUUCAGGGGACAGAUUGUAACAUUUUGCUUCAGUGGUGACUCUGGUUGUGGCAAGCUUGAAAGUUCAAGGACAAAGUCUCCGUUCAUUAAAACUUCCGCGAAUGAAGGACUUGAACAAAGAUAGUUGUCACAAAUCUUAUAGCAAAGAGUGUCUUAAAAUGUCCUAAGCAGUAUCUGUUCAUCUUAACAGAUUCAUGUUUGAAACAGCAGCAUGGACCUCGUCGAAAUGCUACUUGUGUUAGAUGUGAUUCAGUGUCAUCAUUAGCAAGGGAAAUUGCAUCCUGUAAACUCAUUUGCAUUUGGCAGAAAGUGAAUUGGAGAUCCUGGAAAGGGUCCAAAGAGAAACUUAUGCCAGUCACUUUGCUAGAUUUCUCCUACCAUGGUUGAAUGUUGUACAGAGCAACUUGUGUCUUGCCAUUUUUAUUUUAUUAUUUUGAUGGCAGCCUGCAAGAA
Molecule: long non-coding RNA, 594 nt
Organism: Solanum tuberosum (potato)
Lineage: Eukaryota; Viridiplantae; Streptophyta; Magnoliopsida; Solanales; Solanaceae
Exons: 3
Source: RefSeq, a predicted model, not a curated record